This 155-nucleotide microRNA precursor is filed under the name Amborella trichopoda. Its description in RNAcentral is "MIR8565 microRNA precursor family". It matches the Rfam family "MIR8565 microRNA precursor family". Lineage: Eukaryota; Viridiplantae; Streptophyta; Magnoliopsida; Amborellales; Amborellaceae. The record is from Rfam by way of RNAcentral.
CCUCCACCCAUGUGUGUAGGACCCCAAAAGAUCACCAUUAAAUUUGACAUGGAUCUUUAGAAAAGUUAUCACAUGGGUGUGGGAUUUGACUUUUUUUAGAGAUCCAUGCCAACUUUAAUGGUGAUCCUUUGGGGCCCUACACACAUACGUGGAGG